This 128-nucleotide small nucleolar RNA is filed under the name Drosophila grimshawi. RNAcentral's name for it is "snoRNA:GH25749". The record is from RNAcentral. Lineage: Eukaryota; Metazoa; Arthropoda; Insecta; Diptera; Drosophilidae.
GUGGAGUCAAAGUGGCAUAUUUCAGAAUUAUCCUCUGAUUUGUGUCUCAAAUGCUCCCAUAUUAAUGAAUUCACGAACGGCAUUCUGUUCAAUAAUUUAUAUUGAUGCAGUUACUAGUUUCGUGCACA